GUGUCAGCAGCCGCGGUAAUACGUAGGGGGCGAGCGUUGUCCGGAAUUACUGGGUGUAAAGGGUGCGUAGGCGGGUAAUUAAGUCAGAUGUGAAAACCACAGGCUCAACUUGUGGACUGCAUUUGAAACUGAAUAUCUUGAGUGUGGGAGAGGUAAGUGGAAUUCCUAGUGUAGCGGUGAAAUGCGUAGAUAUUAGGAGGAACACCAGUGGCGAAGGCGACUUACUGGACCAUAACUGACGCUGAGGCACGAAAGCGUGGGGAGCAAACAGGAUUAGAUACCCUGGUAGUCCACGCUGUAAACGAUGAAUACUAGGUGUAGGGGGUAUCGACUCCCUCUGUGCCGCAGUUAACACAAUAAGUAUUCCACCUGGGGAGUACGGCCGCAAGGUUGAA
This 395-nucleotide ribosomal RNA is filed under the name uncultured bacterium. RNAcentral's name for it is "bacterial SSU rRNA". It matches the Rfam family "Bacterial small subunit ribosomal RNA", at positions 505 to 898 of the family's 1533-position model. The record is from RNAcentral.